This 1244-nucleotide ribosomal RNA is filed under the name uncultured Bordetella sp. RNAcentral's name for it is "partial 16S-23S ribosomal RNA intergenic spacer". It matches the Rfam family "Bacterial small subunit ribosomal RNA", at positions 10 to 1277 of the family's 1533-position model. The record is from RNAcentral. Lineage: Bacteria; Pseudomonadati; Pseudomonadota; Betaproteobacteria; Burkholderiales; Alcaligenaceae.
AGUUUGAUUAUGGCUCAGAUUGAACGCUGGCGGGAUGCUUUACAUGCAAGUCGAACGGCAGCACGGACUUCAGUCUGGUGAGUGGCGAACGGGUGGUAAUGUAUCGGAACGUGCCUAGUAGCGGGGGAUAACUGCGGCGUAGCUAAUACCGCAUACGCCCUUCGGGGAAAGCGGGGGAUACUUCGGGCCUCGCACUGUCGAAACGGCGAUAUCGGAUUGGCUAGUUGGUGGGGUAACGGCUCGCAAGGCGACGAUCGUAGCUGGUUUGAAGGACGACCAGCCACACUGGGACUGAGACACGGCCCAGACUCCUACAGGAGGCAGCAGUGGGGAAUUUUGGACAAUGGGGAAACCCUGAUCCAGCCAUCCCGCGUGUGCGAUGAAGGCCUUCGGGUUGUAAAGCACUUUUGGCAGGAAAAAACGGCACGGGAUAUUACCCCGUGCAACUGACGUACCUGCAGAAUAAGCACUGACUAACUACGUGCCAGCAGCCGCCGUAACCGUAGGGUGCAAGCGUUAAUCGGAAUUACUGGGCGUAAAGCGUGCGCAGGCGGUUCGGAAGAAAAGAUCUUAAAUCCCGAGCUUAACUUUGGAACUGCAUUUUUAACUACCGAGCGCUAGAGUGUGUCAGAGAGGGAGAGUGGAAUUCCGCGUGUAGCAGUGAAAUGCGUAGAUAUGCGGGCCUACGUGCUUGAAAGGCAGCCUCCUGGGAUAACACUGACGCUCAUGCACGAAAGCGUGGGGAGCAAACAGGAUUAGAUACACCUGGUAGUCCACGCCCUAAACGAUGUCAACUGGCUAUUUGGGGCCUUCGGGCCUUGGUGGCGCAACUAACAACGUGAAGUUGACCGCCUGGGAAAUACGGUCGCAAGAUUAAAACUCAAAGGAAUUGACGGGGGACCCGCACAAGCGGUGGAUGAUGUGGAUUAAUUCGAUGCAACGCGAAAACCUUACCUACCCUUGACAUCGUCUGGAAUCCCGAAGAGAUUUGGGAGUGCUCGCAAGAGAACCGGAACACAGGUGCUGCAUGGCUGUCGUCAGCUCGUGUCGUGAGAUGUGGGAUUCAGUCCGCAACGAGCACAACCCUUGUCAUUAGUUUGCUGAAAGACGUUCAUGAGACUGCCGGUGACAAACCGGAGGAAGGUGGGGAUGACGUCAAGUCCUCGUAGCCCUUAUGGGUAGGGCUUCACGUCAUACAAUGGUCGGGACAGGGGGUCGCCAACCCGCGAGGGAGCCAAUCCAGA